This is a non-coding RNA of Picea glauca (white spruce), 121 nucleotides long. The record is from Rfam. Lineage: Eukaryota; Viridiplantae; Streptophyta; Pinopsida; Pinales; Pinaceae.
ACAUGUGUACAACAUAGUGUUAAUGCAUCAGAUCCCAUUAGAACUUUGUAGCUAAGUGCACUCAAGCUAGAGUAGUACUGGGAUGGGUGACCACCUGGGAAUUCCUAGUGUUUUGCAUGCC